GCUUAGAUCAGGGAACAUCCGAGGCAGGCGGGUGCCUUCGCCGCUCCAGUCCUUCCUCAGCCCUGCAACAGCCUCCUGCUCUUUCCAAUGCGUCCCCUCUGGGCAGCAGGCUCAGGCACGAUGCAGGGGCGUCUGGCAGGGCCAGGGCCACCGAUGCUGCUGCUGGCCAGGACUGAAAAAUGCAGACUGCAGGCAACACAAGCAAGCAGGACAACCCCACUCAGAUUGUGUGUGUGUGUAAAGUUUGAUGGAACUGCACAGGCUGGGGGCGUGUGGGGAAAUAUCUAUAAGUGGCAAUCGGCUGAGCAGCUGGGAGGAACUUCAGAGAAGAGACAGAAUAUUAAGAGCCACUACUUCCCACAGCCAUCUAUGCAGUUCCUCGGUGCUCCCCGCACCCUCUGCAGCCUGGAAGGCCCAGGACGAUAAGGGCACUAUCUCCGAGCGGCCAGGCCUGGGCCCAGCAGGGAGGCUGCACCGCACAUGGCCGUGGCGUCAGAAGUCAGAUGCGUUUCGGUGUAGUUGGUGAGAUGGCCACAGGGUCCUCCACCACAAGCCCUGCGGAGAGACCAGCACGGAGGAAGGAACAGGAACUCAGGUUAGCUUUCCGCACCUCUCUGAGGAGGCUAAGCGCCCAGCACUGGCUGCUGAAAACGCAGCGAACACAGAGGAGAAAGUCCCCACACACUUCUCAGUUCUGCAACAGUGAACUGGAAUAGAUGUACACCGACCCCAUCUCACCUGCUACCCCAGGGGAUAGGCAGACCUCAACAUUCAUUCUUCAAGAUGCUCAAACCACUGAAGAAAGCUCAAAGUGAUUUGGGCAAGACAGGAAAAGCCAAGGCUACUUGGUGCCAGAGACAGGGACUGCUGUGGCAUCGAGCCUUCAAGACCUCCCUAGACAUGCAGCCCAGCUGAGGAGCUGUCUUCAAACCCAGGCAGGGCCAAGAAGCAGGGCGGCUCUGGUGGCAGCAGUGAGGGCUCAGAUAUCGGGGAAAUCUGGAAGGAUGGCUGGAGCCAGAAUGCCACUUAGACAUAAGUGGAUGACGGUUUCAACAGGAACUUUGCCAAAUGAUUCUCCCUUCAAUGGCUGGGGCUUGGUUUCAAGUGAAUGCUACCGUUUGAGUUGAGGAUUCCAGGCAGAAACUGAGAGGAACAUGGUGUUAUCUGUUUGGCCCCUGUGUGCUUGUGGUCACUGAGUAAAGACAAAAUACAUCUUCGCCACUCUGCAAUUUCUUCCCUUCCUCCACAGCAAUGAAGAUGAACUUCUUUCCUGAUGAAGGAGCUAGCCUGUGAAUCUUCAGUGUGUGACCAGGCCAGAGAUGCAUCCUGUUUCUAGAAAGGCGAUGGAGGAACCACUCUGGGCAUUCUGCUGGGAUAAGGAAUGAGCUACAAGCCUGGGUUCCUGCAGCACGGCCCAAGAGAAGAGGCACAGGACAGUCCUCAGGUGAGCUCUUGCACUGUCAGUGGGAAGCCGGAAAGCAGACAGCUCAGAGCGCCUGGUGCUCCUUGGCAGAGGUGGAAUGGUGAGCCUUGACAAACGUCAGAAGAUGGGGGAUAAAGAGGCUUUCCAAUCCUUGAUGCCAGCAAGGAAACAAAGCCCAGGAGCCUGCAGCCAGUGAAGACGCCCUCAGCACACCAGGCGAGGGGAGAGGAGAAGGGGAAACUGCAGGCAAGCCCCGCCAGUGGCUGAGGCAUGCUCACCAGGGUCAGCAGGCAGUCAGGUUUGGCAGAAUCAGCUAGUAAAGGGAAAAGCAGGCUGGAUGCGGCACUUGGUCUUUCUGCCACCGGACUCAACCUUCUCCCCCAACCUCUGGUUCUUCUUUAAAACACUGGUGUUCCCAAAGGCUCUGAGCCCUCUCCCUUUCCAUCCAGGUUUUCCUCGAAUGGCUCUGUGCUCAAGCCUUCGAGCCCUGACUCGCUAUACAAGGACCUCUAAAUCUACAUCUCUCGGCCGGGCAUGGUGGCGCAUGCCUGUAAUCCCAGCACUUUGGGAGGCCGAGGCAGGAGGAUCACUUUGAGUCCAAGAGUUCAAAACCAGCCUGGGUCACAUGGCGAAACCCCAUCUCCACAAAAAUGCAAAACAAUUAGCUGGGUGUUGGUGGCAUGCUCCUGUAGUCCCAGAGAGGCUGAGGCUGGAGAAUUGCUUGAACCCGGGAGACAGAGGCUACAGUGAGCCCAGAUCGCACCACUGUACUCCAGCCUGGGUGACAGGGUAAGACCUUGUCUC
Molecule: non-coding RNA, 2227 nt
Filed under: Pongo abelii (Sumatran orangutan)
Lineage: Eukaryota; Metazoa; Chordata; Mammalia; Primates; Hominidae
Source: RNAcentral